Regulatory RNA element from Actinoplanes derwentensis, 46 nucleotides. It matches the Rfam family "L31-Actinobacteria ribosomal protein leader". The record is from Rfam. NCBI's taxonomy places the organism in Bacteria, Bacillati, Actinomycetota, Actinomycetes, Micromonosporales, Micromonosporaceae.
GGGGUUCCGGUUCACGCCUUUCCAGCAGGAGGGCGACCCGGCGGCC